RNAcentral lists this ribosomal RNA (318 nucleotides) under Triticum aestivum (bread wheat). Its description in RNAcentral is "partial small subunit ribosomal RNA". The record is from RNAcentral. Lineage: Eukaryota; Viridiplantae; Streptophyta; Magnoliopsida; Poales; Poaceae.
AUGGGGAGCUCCAGCUGCUUGUCAGUGGGUGCCGCUGUGAUCCUGCUUCUGGUACUGGCUUCGGCAAUGGAGGCCCAAGCCAUCCGACUCGACGCGGAGACCCGGGCGUCAGUGAGCAGCAGCGGCAACCAAAUGACUGCCGAUAAACCAACUGGGAAUAAUGUCGUCGAUGUGGUCAAGGCUUCUGCUAGCUCGACAAGCGAGUCGAAGAGGAGCGUCGAUGUUGCCACGGGUGAAGUUAGGGCGGUGGCGCAUAAGAUGCCGGAGUUCCAUGAGGACUACUACGGCCCGAGUGAUCACAGCCCUAGGCACCACUGA